Molecule: transfer RNA, 72 nt
Filed under: Danio rerio (zebrafish)
Lineage: Eukaryota; Metazoa; Chordata; Actinopteri; Cypriniformes; Danionidae
Description: tRNA-Pro (AGG) (tRNA-Pro-AGG-80-1)
Source: RNAcentral
GGCUCGUUGGUCUAGGGGUAUGAUUCUCGCAUAGGGUGCGAGAGGUCCCGGGAUCAAAUCCCGGAUGAGCCC